RNAcentral lists this ribosomal RNA (260 nucleotides) under uncultured bacterium. Its description in RNAcentral is "partial 16S ribosomal RNA". It matches the Rfam family "Bacterial small subunit ribosomal RNA", at positions 94 to 354 of the family's 1533-position model. The record is from RNAcentral.
AGUGGCGGACGGGUGAGUAACGCGUGGGUAACCUGCCUCAUACAGGGGGAUAACAGUUAGAAAUGACUGCUAAUACCGCAUAAGCGCACGGUUUCGCAUGGAACAGUGUGAAAAACUCCGGUGGUAUGGGAUGGACCCGCGUCUGAUUAGCUGGUUGGCGGGGUAACGGCCCACCAAGGCGACGAUCAGUAGCCGGCCUGAGAGGGUGAACGGCCACAUUGGGACUGAGACACGGCCCAAACUCCUACGGAAGGCAGCAG